CCCAAGAUCCCCGGGGGGUGGGGGGAGCUAGCAAAUUCCUCAUGGGAAAACAUUACAUAAAUUUGGUUAUGCUCCAAUUAGGAUUGAAUUCAAAUGACUGGAAAGCACUUAUUCUAUACAACUCCAACAAUUUAUCCUUUAUAGUUGAA
Cucurbita moschata (crookneck pumpkin) is the source of this 149-nucleotide long non-coding RNA. RefSeq lists it as uncharacterized. The transcript is spliced from 3 exons. The record is from RefSeq and is a predicted model, not a curated record. NCBI's taxonomy places the organism in Eukaryota, Viridiplantae, Streptophyta, Magnoliopsida, Cucurbitales, Cucurbitaceae.